RNAcentral lists this long non-coding RNA (1118 nucleotides) under Capsella grandiflora. Its description in RNAcentral is "long non-coding RNA (CGRA_LNC001580)". The record is from RNAcentral. Lineage: Eukaryota; Viridiplantae; Streptophyta; Magnoliopsida; Brassicales; Brassicaceae.
CUGCACAAAGAUUGAAAAUAUUCACUAAUUGAUUGUAGUAAUGACAAGGAGGAAAGUCAAAUCAUAUGGAGUGAGAAAUCACAUUAUUACCACAAAGGUGUUGGCACGAGCAACAUCGAGUGUAGUAACUCCAAGGAGCUUCUUUGGAUCAUAAGUUCCAGCUUUCUUGAAAACCUCAGCGGCAAUGGGGACAGUAGAGUUCACAGGGUUGCUGAUCAAGUUGACAACCGCAUUUGGACAACAUUUUGCUACACCUUCACAUAGUGUCUUAACAAUCCCAGCAUUGAUUUUAAACAGAUCAUCACGGGUCAUCCCUGGUUUCCUCGGUAUACCGGCUGGUAUGAUCACAAGAUCCAUACCCGUUAGUGCGUCCUCAAGCUGUUUUGCUCCCAAGAAUCCCCGGACCUAAUUGGCUCAAACCAAUCAAGAAUGCUCAAUACUCUCUACUCAUUCAUUAGCAAGAAGAAGUGAAGUUUUCAAAGUUGAGAGGUUCUUACAACAGCUCCAGUGUCCAUAUGACUGAUGUCAGCUGUGACGCCAGGUGCAUUGACAACAUCGUAGAGAUGAAGUAAAGAGACAAGAGGGUUCAGCUUCAUCAGCAAAGCUAAAGGUUGUCCAAUUCCACCUGCAGCUCCAAGAAUCGCUACUUUGAAUCCUGAAUUCCCGCCUUUCGCUCUGCAGUUUUCUCGUCCCAUUACCGAAUUCUUUCCCUCCACCUAAUCAUUGACCAAUCACACACACAAAAAAAAAAGAUAACAUAUCAACUCUUAGUCCUAGAAGGCUUCAAUGGAGACAAAAACAAUUUGUUCUCACUCUCUAUUGUCAUCAGAAAUGGAAGUUCACUAGUAGAACGAAUGUAAAGUUCGUAACUGGACUAAAAUUUGAGUCUUGAUGACUCUGAGACUGAAUACAAACUAUUAUUUCUUGUUUUAGAACAGCCAAUGAUUAAAAGAACCAAAUAAGGUAACUUGAAUUAGAAGCAAUAGUGAGGAAAAAAAAAACCUGAAGAGUUAAAGAAGGUUGAAGAUGAGCUGAAAUCCUAGCAAUCCUCUGGUUGGCGUUGGCAUCUCCACGAAACUCCAUUGGUGUGUUCCUCUGUUUGCUCUCGUUACAAAGCU